CUAAAAUAGCAUAAUAUAUAUGGUAAUGUUUAUUAGUACAUGUUCGGGGUACACAGUGUUUACAUUCCUUAUGAGGAGUUUCUUCACAACAUCAGUCCACUCAGUUUUAUCUUUAAAAAAAAAAAAUAGUCUUUGCCCAGAAAUCCCAGAAGACCAGCCAUCUCAAGUAAUGAAACAGCAUGACUGA
RNAcentral lists this long non-coding RNA (187 nucleotides) under Cavia porcellus (domestic guinea pig). RNAcentral describes it as "lncRNA (ENSCPOG00000030438.1)". Lineage: Eukaryota; Metazoa; Chordata; Mammalia; Rodentia; Caviidae. The record is from RNAcentral.